UACGAAGGGGGCUAGCGUUGCUCGGAAUCACUGGGCGUAAAGGGUGCGUAGGCGGGUCUUUAAGUCAGAGGUGAAAUCCUGGAGCUCAACUCCAGAACUGCCUUUGAUACUGAAGAUCUUGAGUUCGGGAGAGGUGAGUGGAACUGCGAGUGUAGAGGUGAAAUUCGUAGAUAUUCGCAAGAACACCAGUGGCGAAGGCGGCUCACUGGCCCGAUACUGACGCUGAGGCACGAAAGCGUGGGGAUCAAACAGG
This 253-nucleotide ribosomal RNA is filed under the name uncultured bacterium. RNAcentral's name for it is "partial 16S ribosomal RNA". It matches the Rfam family "Bacterial small subunit ribosomal RNA", at positions 524 to 776 of the family's 1533-position model. The record is from RNAcentral.